Molecule: ribosomal RNA, 822 nt
Filed under: [Candida] smagusa
Lineage: Eukaryota; Fungi; Ascomycota; Pichiomycetes; Serinales; Debaryomycetaceae
Description: LSU rRNA
Rfam family: Eukaryotic large subunit ribosomal RNA
Source: RNAcentral
UAAGCAUAUCAAUAAGCGGAGGAAAAGAAACCAACAGGGAUUGCCUCAGUAACGGCGAGUGAAGCGGCAAAAGCUCAAAUUUGAAACCGCUCCGGCGGGUUGUAAUUUGAAGAUUGUGUUCUGGAGUCGACCACGCCUAUGUUCCUUGGAACAGGACGUCACAGAGGGUGAGAAUCCCGUGCGGCGUGGCCCCCGGCUCCUUAUAGAUCACUCUCGACGAGUCGAGUUGUUUGGGAAUGCAGCUCAAAGUGGGUGGUAAAUUCCAUCUAAAGCUAAAUAUUGGCGAGAGACCGAUAGCGAACAAGUACAGUGAUGGAAAGAUGAAAAGCACUUUGAAAAGAGAGUGAAACAGUACGUGAAAUUGUUGAAAGGGAAGGGCAUGCCGUCAGAUUGCCAGUAUCGAUUGCCAGGGAGGGAAAAAAGCGCAGGAAUGUGGCCCUAGGGUGUUAUAGCCUGCGUCAAUACCUCCUCUAGCGAUCGAGGACUGCUUUUAGGAUACUGGCGUAAUGACGGUACGCCGCCCGUCUUGAAACACGGACCAAGGAGUCUAACGUCUAUGCAAGUGUUUGGGUGUAAAACCCGUACGCGAAAUGAAAGUGAACAGAUGAGUUUCAUCAUCGACCGAUCCUGAUGUGUUCGGAUGGAUUUGAGUAUGAGCAUAGCUGUUGGGACCCGAAAGAUGGUGAACUAUGCCUGAAUAGGGUGAAGCCAGAGGAAACUCUGGUGGAGGCUCGUAGCGGUUCUGACGUGCAAAUCGAUCGUCGAAUUUGGGUAUAGGGGCGAAAGACUAAUCGAACCAUCUAGUAGCUGGUUCCUGCCGAA